GUGAAGAAUUGUACGCUGGGAAAUGGACGUUCACACAGCAGAGGCAAGAGAAAAGGGAAAAGAGAAACAACGGUAUGAGGAGUAAAUGGCGUAAAGUGGGUAGGUGAGUGGGCCUAUGUAGAGAGACCUUUGCCAGCUACGCUGCCCACUCAUUCUCACGCGCACUCUCCUUAUACUUUUUGCUCUGUCUGCGACUGUUGCUCUUACUUCUUUCUGCUCUAUCUGCCUGCAAUUAAUUGCCGCCUCAUUCAUUAUGCACUGCAGUCGCUCGACUAAUGCUUCUACGCCAGAGACAUGCUUUUUCCUCUUGCAUUACACUUCUCCCACACGUCUUGAGUUCGAGUCUUUCCUGACCCCGUGCUAGGGUUUUCAAGAGAGGCAGGCAGGCAGGGAGGCGUUUCUCAAAGGGGAGCCCGGCAUGAAACGGAUGCGCUGCUCGUGCAAGCUGAUCACUUUUCUUCUGCUUUGCUACUGGUUUGUAAAUGCAUUCCAGGCUUUGUCAUUACCAAAAUUUGGUGCAAGUCAGACGUCAGAUCUUACUGUAGUUGUACAUGAGCCCAUUGUUUCAUUUCCUUGGAAUUCUUCAUUGUUUCAUUUGACUUCUUCACGACCUCAUGCCGAGGAAAAGGAAAGUAAUAUUUUCUCUGUAGAAGUUUCUCCUAGUGCUGCACCUGACCCAUUGAUUCCAUUACUCGCUCCGUCUCCUUUGAAUCCUUUCACUCCAAAUUCAACUGCACCUGUUGUUUCAGGGCUUUGUGCUUUCAAUUUUUCAGCUGCAGAUUAUGUGAUCAGUCAAACAGCAAUUGACUGUUGGGGUUCAUUUGCUCAAUAUCUGGGAAAUGUCAUUUGCUGUCCCCAGUACGAGGCUUUGCUUCACAUCCUUGUUGGAGAAUCCAGCAAAUCGAAUGGGUUACUUGCCUUGAAUUCAACAUUUGCAGAAUACUGUUUUUCAGAUGUCCAAACUAUCUUGAGUAGCCAGGGUGCAAAUGCAAGUCUUCCAUCGAUAUGCUCUGCACUGCCAUCUAAUCUAACUGAAGGAUCCUGUCCAGUUAAGGGUGUGAAGGAGUUUGAACAAACAGUCAAUGGGAGCAAACUUUUGAUUGAUUGCAAAACAGUUGAUCCAGUGAAAGAAUGCUGCAGCCCCGUUUGCCAGCCUGCAAUCUCAGAAGCUGCAAGAAGACUUGCUUUGAAGGCACCUGGAUUAUUUAGUGAAGAUGAUGUGCGAAUGUCACCUCUGCAACAAACUGUAGUUGAUGAUUGUCAUAGGGUUGUCCUCAGAUGGUUAUCAAGUAAGCUUACCCCAGAGAGGGCAAAAUCAGUUCUCCGAGGGCUUUCCAAUUGCAAUGUGAACAGAGUCUGUCCUCUAGAUUUCCCUGAUCCUUCAGAGGUGGCAAGAGACUGCUCUCAGGCCCUAAAAAAUGAAUCAAAAUGUUGUACGACACUGGACAGUUAUAUCUCUGGAGUUCAACAGCAAAGUCUCAUCACAAAUCUGCAAGCUUUGGACUGUGCCACCUCUCUUGGUGUUAUGCUUCAGAGAAAGAAUAUUACAGAUAACAUUUACAUUCUUUGCCGUGUAAACCUGAAGGACUUCUCUCUUCAAGCAUUCGGAUCACAAGAUGCAGGCUGUCUUCUUCGAAGUUUGCCUUCAGAUGCUAUGAUCGACAAGUCUUCUGGAGUAAGUUUCACAUGUGACCUGAAUGAUAAUAUUGCUGCUCCUUGGCCUCAUUUUUCUCAUUCGUCAACACCUUCGUCUUGCAAUAAAGCAAUUAACAUGCCAGCUUUUCCAGCUGCAACAUCAGCCUGUAAUGGGCAGAAGGGAGUAUCGGUGGUGAUGUUUCUCUUUUCGGUUCUCUCUGUAGUAAUGUUGAUCCCUUAGAUUCGAGUUAACGUGAGACAGUUAAUGCAAUUAGAUCCUGUUCUCGCUUUGUGAUCUUGCUGAGUGUAUUACCCAGUUCGGCCUUUACAGUUAUGCAUACUGAUGAGCAUUCCAGAAAACUUCAAAAAGUUGAAUGCUUAGUACCUGUUAUUGCAUCGCAUGUAUAUGUAAUCUUUAGGCACCUUCAGGGGUGUCCUCUGUAAAAUGUAAAUGUAGCUGAUUGUAGAUGUAUUCUACCAUGUUAUUUCUAUCUGUUUAAUAAUCCUUGGAUGCACUGUUGCAGGUUUUUUGGCCGCACGGAGACAUUUUUAUGUUUUAUUCAUAUAUCAUGAGAUAUUAACAAGCAUUUUAUAUGCAAUAGAGCUCCUGAAAAUCCCUAGGUGUGAUCAGAAACUGAAUUCAUGAUAUGGAUUCUUGGGUGGUGCUGUGGUGGAUGUUCAAUUUGACUUGAGUUCUUGUCAAAUCCUUUUUGAGACUGUGUAACUGGUGCUCAUUAAGCUCAUAGUUCACUCUUAGCAAGGCAGAUUAAUAUCAUUUCUGGCAGCUUUUUAAACA
Molecule: RNA transcript, 2431 nt
Organism: Cryptomeria japonica (Japanese cedar)
Lineage: Eukaryota; Viridiplantae; Streptophyta; Pinopsida; Cupressales; Cupressaceae
Exons: 9
Source: RefSeq, a predicted model, not a curated record